RNAcentral lists this non-coding RNA (45 nucleotides) under Schistosoma mansoni. The record is from RNAcentral. Lineage: Eukaryota; Metazoa; Platyhelminthes; Trematoda; Strigeidida; Schistosomatidae.
AUCCGGCUGACGAGUCCCAAAUAGGACGGAAUGCGCGUCCUGGAU